UGCGUGUCUCGCCAAGCCAAAGUCCAAGAUCUACAGAUCAACAGAGGAGGGAGAUGGUGAGGGAAGGAAAAGAGAUCCUGCAGGCAAAAGAGAACCUGUUUCCAUGAGGAUAUGAAGUAGAUCCCAUCAGAGAGCUAUAGCCUCACCGCUACACCAGAGCCACCCCAGCCAAUGGUUCUAACAGGUAUCUCUGGCUUUAGACUGGCCCCUUUUCAAAUCAACUCAUGGGAUUGGUUCUCAGCAUGACACACUUCCUUCUUCAAGUGCAAAAUCUGCCAUUGUCCUGGACAACGAUGGAACCUAUAGCGAACACAAACCCCACAAAAACCCCACCAAAAAACCCCACCAAAAACUUACAAGUCCUGGAAUCCACUGAAGGAGGUGGCUGAGGUGAAGACAUCAAGCAACCCAAUGACCUGCAGGAUAAGUGGGUAAAUGUAAGACUGGAAAGUACACACACUGGAAGAGUGGUAUUCUCUGUAACAGCUUGCAACUCAAGAGUCACAGGUCAGUGACACUUUAGGAUUCCAUGUGAGGGAUUUGGACUCUCAUCAAUGGGUUUUACGGCUAUUUCCUCUCUUACAAACAGACCGAACAUUUGUCUGUGCUGCAAGUCCAACUUCACUUUUGGAGCAAUAGCAGGGUGGCAGCAACAAAGAACCCAUGGAAAUGAGAACUGAACACGGAAACUGAAUCCUCCUCUAAACUCCAAAAAGGGUGGGGUCCCUCUACAUCAGGCUGGGUGUCCAUUGGCUAUUGCUGAGGGCAUUCUGUGCCAAAACAAUUAAAAAUUCUGUGCUUAAAAAAAAUAAAUUCUGCUCACAAUA
Chelonoidis abingdonii (Abingdon island giant tortoise) is the source of this 827-nucleotide long non-coding RNA. RefSeq lists it as uncharacterized. The record is from RefSeq and is a predicted model, not a curated record. NCBI's taxonomy places the organism in Eukaryota, Metazoa, Chordata, Testudines, Testudinidae.